UUCCGUAGGGGGACCUGCGGAGGGAUCAUUACCGAGUUUACAACUCCCAAACCCCUGUGAACAUACCACUUGUUGCCUCGGCGGAUCAGCCCGCUCCCGGUAAAACGGGACGGCCCGCCAGAGGACCCCUAAACUCUGUUUCUAUAUGUAACUUCUGAGUAAAACCAUAAAUAAAUCAAAACUUUCAACAACGGAUCUCUUGGUUCUGGCAUCGAUGAAGAACGCAGCAAAAUGCGAUAAGUAAUGUGAAUUGCAGAAUUCAGUGAAUCAUCGAAUCUUUGAACGCACAUUGCGCCCGCCAGUAUUCUGGCGGGCAUGCCUGUUCGAGCGUCAUUUCAACCCUCAAGCACAGCUUGGUGUUGGGACUCGCGUUAAUUCGCGUUCCUCAAAUUGAUUGGCGGUCACGUCGAGCUUCCAUAGCGUAGUAGUAAAACCCUCGUUACUGGUAAUCGUCGCGGCCACGCCGUUAAACCCCAACUUCUGAAUGUUGACCUCGGAUCAGGUAGGAAUACCCGCUGAACUUAAGCAUAUCAAUAGGCCGGAGGAA
Molecule: ribosomal RNA, 547 nt
Filed under: Fusarium oxysporum
Lineage: Eukaryota; Fungi; Ascomycota; Sordariomycetes; Hypocreales; Nectriaceae
Description: eukaryotic LSU rRNA
Rfam family: 5.8S ribosomal RNA (bases 180-333)
Source: RNAcentral